Molecule: ribosomal RNA, 492 nt
Filed under: uncultured bacterium
Lineage: Bacteria
Description: partial 16S ribosomal RNA
Rfam family: Bacterial small subunit ribosomal RNA
Source: RNAcentral
AGUGAACGCUGGCGGUAGGCCUAACACAUGCAAGUCGAACGGCAGCACAGUAAGAGCUUGCUCUUACGGGUGGCGAGUGGCGGACGGGUGAGGAAUACAUCGGAAUCUACUUUUUCGUGGGGGAUAACGUAGGGAAACUUACGCUAAUACCGCAUACGACCUACGGGUGAAAGCAGGGGAUCUUCGGACCUUUCGCGAUUGAAUGAGCCGAUGUCGGAUUAGCUAGUUGGCGGGGUAAAGGCCCACCAAGGCGACGAUCCGUAGCUGGUCUGAGAGGAUGAUCAGCCACCCUGGAACUGAGACACGGUCCAGACUCCUACGGGAGGCAGCAGUGGGGAAUAUUGGACAAUGGGCGCAAGCCUGAUCCAGCCAUACCGCGUGGGUGAAGAAGGCCUUCGGGUUGUAAAGCCCUUUUGUUGGGAAAGAAAAGCAGCAGGUUAAUACCCCGCUGUUCUGACGGUACCCAAAGAAUAAGCACCGGCUAACUUCGUG